Molecule: long non-coding RNA, 1274 nt
Organism: Arvicola amphibius (Eurasian water vole)
Lineage: Eukaryota; Metazoa; Chordata; Mammalia; Rodentia; Cricetidae
Exons: 3
Source: RefSeq, a predicted model, not a curated record
CAUUGCAGCAAAUAUCUGCUGGUUUAGGAGAGACCCAUGCCAGAGGCUACCACAUGUUCACAGUGCACACAACAGGGACAUGCACCUGGGAUCUGGUAGGAGAGCCAGCAUAUGAAGAAAAUACGAGUAAUUAGGGUGAAAGAAUAAAGGGAAGGCAAACUGAAUGAGGACAGGGCAGUCCUGGAAAUCCCGGUCUCUGUACAGACAUAGGAUAUGAACCGUGAUUGCUCACACGCCUCGGUUUGACUAGGUGACUGAACAGCAACGACAGAAGAUCAACACAAAACCCAAAGAGCCAAUGAGAAGAAACCCUCAGCAAUGCCGGGCGGUGGUCUUCAACCUGAAUCCUGUGGGGGCAGAAAACGGUGUGAGAAGAGGAAGAAUGGACCUGUCUCUCACCUGGUGCUUGUCACUUUCCAUAGGCUGCUGCUUCUUCUCAAUGGUUUCGUCUCUAGAAGAUAAAAGUACUAUUUAGAUUCUGGAGGCCAACGUAGGGGGACUACAAGCUCAAAGCCAGCCUGGUCUACAGAGUGAGUUACAGCUACAAAGCCGGAGUCCUUGGAAAGCAGUUUCAGCAGAAGUGGAGGAGGAGAGGAAAGGUUGUGUUAGCAUUGUUUUAGAUGCAUUUGCACAGAAGAACGUCUUGCAAAAAGAUGACUGUAUUACUCUUGAGGACAAGAACACUAAGAGGCAGCAGCUACAAACAGACCACGGUGAAUCCUUCAAUCCAGGCAGAAAGAAGGACUGUAGAGCUUCUGCCUGCAGUAAAUAAAGUUAAAGGAGUUAUAUAUAUAUUGCCCUUGCUAUAUCCCUCCAGAAGUGUGUAGCUUCAAGGACCUGGGUGUUCAAUUUGAACCUUAGCUCUACUGUAUUCUACUUGGCUAAUCCUGUGCAAAGGGUGUAAGUUCUUUGUGUGCUGGGCUUUCUAUUUGCAAAGUAAUAAUACCUGUAUACUGAGAGUUCUAUGGAUUACUGAAUAAAUUAUUACAUGAAAGGAACUAAGAAUAAUGUCUGGAACUUAAGUAAUUUUCAAUAAAUAAUCUCUGUUAUUAAAAUUCUGCUGCUAGAGAAGCACUUAAAGAAAUGUUCAAUAUCCUUAGCCAUUAGGGAAAUGCAAAUCAAAACUACCUGGAAAUUUCAUCUUACACCCAUCAGAAUGGCAAAAAUCAAAACCACAAAUGAUAGCUUACGCUUGAGAGAAUAUGGAGCAAGGGGAACAUUCCUGGUGGGAGUGUAAACUUGUACAGCCACUUUGGAAAUCAAUAUGGUGGUUU